RNAcentral lists this transfer RNA (68 nucleotides) under Scolytinae sp. BMNH 1039996. RNAcentral describes it as "tRNA-Gln". The record is from RNAcentral. Lineage: Eukaryota; Metazoa; Arthropoda; Insecta; Coleoptera; Curculionidae.
UAUAUUUUAGUAUAAAAUGUAUAAAAGUUUUUGAUACUUUAGGAAUUAGUUUAGUCUAUUAAAUAUAA